AUCAGUAUCAACAUCAACAUCAACAUCAACAUCAACAUCAACAUCAACUUCAUCCUCUACAUCUUCGUCUACUGAAAAUGGAGCACCCGGAUUUGCACCUUCAAUUCUCGGAGCCAACGGACAAGAAUGCGUCGGAGAUGGUUGUAUCCCCUUGGACGGUGCAGCAGUUCUGGUCGAUCCUCCAGUUAUCGAUGUUGGAGAGCCUGCUCAGUGAACAAGCAGAAUGUUUAAAGCGUGGUCCUGAGGAAAACCCGAUACUUUGGGAUUGUGUUACCGGUGCAUGGUGACACUAAAUUUCUACGGAAGUUCUUUUGAAGUGCGAGACCACGUUUGACGCCUGAUUGGACCAUAGUGGAUUAUAUACUGGUUUACAUUCACACACGGAAUGUAAAGUAGAUAGCACUGUUAUUUAGAUAUAUUCAGAUAACUCGACAAAUGUAAAGCCCAUGCCAAACAUCAAUAUGUGAUUGUGACCACAUAAUU
Long non-coding RNA from Haliotis rufescens (red abalone), 483 nucleotides. RefSeq lists it as uncharacterized. NCBI's taxonomy places the organism in Eukaryota, Metazoa, Mollusca, Gastropoda, Lepetellida, Haliotidae. The transcript is spliced from 5 exons. The record is from RefSeq and is a predicted model, not a curated record.